RNAcentral lists this long non-coding RNA (454 nucleotides) under Phascolarctos cinereus (koala). Its description in RNAcentral is "lncRNA (ENSPCIG00000036850.1)". The record is from RNAcentral. Lineage: Eukaryota; Metazoa; Chordata; Mammalia; Diprotodontia; Phascolarctidae.
AAUGCAGCUGUGUGGGGCUGACAUUUGCACCCUCAGCUGCCCUGGAAAAUCUCAGAUGCUAAUUAGUGCCAGUGUGUUCCUUGGCAAUCUUAAGGAGAAAAGUUUAUCUGAGAGGAGGCUAGACUGACCUGGCCGAGAGCACAGAACUGCUCAUUCAUUCUCCCUCUGAAUGGAAUACAGCGGUAAUAAGAGAUCUGCUGUUGGGAGAGAGAUAAAAACUAUCCCAGGAAGGAAAUCUGAUGUCUGGGAACUACUGCAGACAACCUGAAGUACAUUAUGGAGGGACCCUGGAGGGUUUAAAUCAACUCCAAGAUCUGUCCAGUCAGCUUUAUGGAGACCACCCUACUCAGCCUUCUGCCCCCUCCCCCUCCUCCAUCCCACUACACCUAAGGAAACAGCCCUGAUCAGUGGAAGGAGUGGGGAAGGGUCAAGAACAUUUGAAGUCAGGAGACCC